RNAcentral lists this ribosomal RNA (469 nucleotides) under uncultured bacterium. Its description in RNAcentral is "partial 16S ribosomal RNA". It matches the Rfam family "Bacterial small subunit ribosomal RNA", at positions 28 to 507 of the family's 1533-position model. The record is from RNAcentral.
GAUGAACGCUGGCGGCGUGCCUAAUACAUGCGAGUCGAACGAGGUGCUUUUGUAGCAAUACGAGAGUAUCCUAGUGGCGAACGGGUGAGUAACGCGUUGGUGACCUACCCCAAAGUGUGGAAUAACAGUCCGAAAGGAUUGCUAAUACCGCAUGUGGUUAUCGGGUUUAGAAACUGAUAACUAAAGGAGCAAUUCGCUUUGGGAGGGACCUGCGCCCCAUCAGCUAGUUGGUGAGGUAAUGGCUCACCAAGGCUACGACGGGUAGGGGACCUGAGAGGGUGACCCCCCACAAUGGAACUGAAACACGGUCCAUACACCUACGGGUGGCAGCAGUAGGGAAUAUUGCACAAUGGGCGAAAGCCUGAUGCAGCAACGCCGCGUGCACGAUGAAGGCCUUCGGGUCGUAAAGUGCUUUUCUGGGAGAUGAGAAAGGACAGUAUCCCAGGAAUAAGUCUCGGCUAACUACGUG